AGAGUUUGAUUCUGGCUCAGAUUGAACGCUAGCGGCAUGCUUAACACAUGCAAGUCGAACGGCAGCGCGGGGAGCUUGCUCCUGGCGGCGAGUGGCGGACGGGUGAGUAAUGCGUAGGAAUCUACCUUGUAGUGGGGGAUAACCUGGGGAAACUCGGGCUAAUACCGCAUAAUCUCUUUGGAGCAAAGCGNGGGAUCUUCGGACCUCGUGCUAUAAGAUGAGCCUACGUCGGAUUAGCUUGUUGGUGGGGUAAUGGCCUACCAAGGCGACGAUCCGUAGCUGGUCUGAGAGGACGAUCAGCCACACUGGGACUGAGACACGGCCCAGACUCCUACGGGAGGCAGCAGUGGGGAAUAUUGGACAAUGGGGGAAACCCUGAUCCAGCAAUGCCGCGUGUGUGAAGAAGGCCUUCGGGUUGUAAAGCACUUUCGGUGGGGAAGAAAUUCUCAAGGGUAAUAUCCUUGGGCGUUGACGUUACCCACAGAAGAAGCACUGGCUAACUCUGUGCCAGCAGCCGCGGUAAUACAGAGAGUGCAAGCUUUAAUCGGAAUCACUGGGCGUAAAGCGCGCGUAGGUGGAUAUCUAAGUCGGAUGUGAAAGCCCUGGGCUUAACCUGGGAAUUGCACCCGAUACUGGGUAUCUUGAGUAUGGUAGAGGGAAGUGGAAUUUCCGGUGUAGCGGUGAAAUGCGUAGAUAUCGGAAAGAACA
Molecule: ribosomal RNA, 708 nt
Filed under: Coxiella burnetii
Lineage: Bacteria; Pseudomonadati; Pseudomonadota; Gammaproteobacteria; Legionellales; Coxiellaceae
Description: bacterial SSU rRNA
Rfam family: Bacterial small subunit ribosomal RNA
Source: RNAcentral